GGGUCAGUAGGUUGGUCGUGCCACCGGUACGUACUGGUCUCACUGAUUCCUCCUUCCUGAAGAACCGUAAUGCCAUUAAUUUGGUGUUGCGGGAAAACAGGACUGUUACUUUGAAAAAAUUAGAGUGUUUAAAGCAAGCUAACGCUUGAAUACAUUAGCAUGGAAUAAUGAAAUAGGACGAUCGAUCCUAUUUUGUCGGUUUCUAGGAUUGACGUA
Molecule: ribosomal RNA, 216 nt
Filed under: Glomeromycotina sp.
Lineage: Eukaryota; Fungi; Glomeromycota
Description: partial small subunit ribosomal RNA
Rfam family: Eukaryotic small subunit ribosomal RNA (bases 40-216)
Source: RNAcentral